Molecule: long non-coding RNA, 448 nt
Filed under: Equus asinus (donkey)
Lineage: Eukaryota; Metazoa; Chordata; Mammalia; Perissodactyla; Equidae
Description: lncRNA (ENSEASG00005037437.1)
Source: RNAcentral
GGGCGGCGGCGGCGGCGGGCGGGGGUGCGGCGGCGGGGCCCGCGUGCGGCUGGUGAUGCGCGCCCGCAGGUGGGGCGAGCGCGCGGCCCGCGCCGUGGGUCCUGCCCGACGCGCGCCGCUCCCGGGCAGCCCAGACGCUCUGAGAUACAAAGACGCACGUGGUGGAGGUCACCUGGUGUGACAGACCUGAUAUCACCGCCUCCCGAGAGGGCACCCGACAGCCAAAAGCUCCCCCAUCGUAGAGACAGGAAAGUGGGCUUUCAAAAAGAAUAACUGAGGAUGGCACCGGCACCGAUCUAGCAAUUUAGCCAAGAUUACAUAACCAGCAAAAGCAGAGCCUGACAAGAUCCCAAAUCCAGCCAACUGCUGAGUGCUUACUAUGUGCCAGCCAUUAUUCUAAGCCCUUUAUAGGAACGAUUGCAGUCACAGAAGAAAGAAACUGAGGCAC